GACGAACGCUGGCGGCGUGCUUAACACAUGCAAGUCGAGCGGUAAGGCCCUUUCGGGGGUACACGAGCGGCGAACGGGUGAGUAACACGUGGGUGACCUGCCCUUAGCUCUGGGAUAAGCCUGGGAAACUGGGUCUAAUACCGGAUAUGACUCCAUGACGCAUGUUGUGGGGUGGAAAGCCUUGUGCGGCUAGGGAUGGGCCCGCGGCCUAUCAGCUUGUUGGUGGGGUGAUGGCCACCAAGGCGACGACGGGUAGCCGGCCUGAGAGGGCGACCGGCCACACUGGGACUGAGACACGGCCCAGACUCCUACGGGAGGCAGCAGUGGGGAAUCUUGCGCAAUGGGCGAAAGCCUGACGCAGCGACGCCGCGUGAGGGAUGAC
Molecule: ribosomal RNA, 382 nt
Filed under: uncultured bacterium
Lineage: Bacteria
Description: bacterial SSU rRNA
Rfam family: Bacterial small subunit ribosomal RNA
Source: RNAcentral